AUCACACUACAUACCACUUGAAGAGUGAGUGGUUCUUAUAAUAUAGUUAUAAAUUAUAGCUAAAAUUAAAGUGAUAAUAAUUUAAAAUGAACAUGUUCUUACAAAUCAUGUUCUAAAUUGCAGCUAUUCGACGUUCGUUGAUUCAAAUUCCAAGGCGUCGUUUCAUCGACAGAUUUCUUGAGAACAGACGGGCACAUUUCACAACUGUGAUAUCGGAUUGAGACAUGUGUUCUAGCUUGUUAUAGUAGAUACUUUGUUAGUUAUGUAUUAGAUGAAACUUAGUAAUAAUGAUUUGUGCUCUAUUUGUAUUAGUCGUGUGUCUGGUCUUAAUGGUGACUGCUUUGUAUAAAAC
This 352-nucleotide long non-coding RNA is filed under the name Zea mays. RNAcentral describes it as "long non-coding RNA (ZMAY_LNC003870)". Lineage: Eukaryota; Viridiplantae; Streptophyta; Magnoliopsida; Poales; Poaceae. The record is from RNAcentral.